Pangasianodon hypophthalmus (striped catfish) is the source of this 7569-nucleotide long non-coding RNA. RefSeq lists it as uncharacterized. The record is from RefSeq and is a predicted model, not a curated record. Lineage: Eukaryota; Metazoa; Chordata; Actinopteri; Siluriformes; Pangasiidae. The transcript has 4 exons.
AUUCGAAAUAUUUAAAACAGUGCAGAACAACGACCAGAGAAAUAUGAGGCUUGAAGCUGUGUCUUCCCCUUACUCUUACUCGACUUCACGUUCCUCCUUAAAUGACUGCACCAUUGAGUGCGCGUGCAGGAUUGUACAGCGGCAAUGAAACCUCUUCACAUCUAGGAAAUGUUCAUACUAGACUAUUGUACCUUACAAUUUAUAAUAUACUGUUUUAAUGUAAUGUAAUUUAAUUUUUUUUUAUUUUUAACCAAACCUGCAGACUGAUCACAGAGCCUCAGCACUUCCAUGCUCUUGCACCGAAAUCUAAUAAAGCGCUGUAUUAAAAUGAAGCGCUCGUGCCAUGAAUGCAUGUUUUGUUAUUGUUUAAAUAACUGACAGUUCAGCGUUCAUGCUUUCGAUUUCCCCUCCCGCCUCUGUAAACGAUCCUGCAACCCAAUAGCUUUUAAACAAAUGCACUGUCCAUCCUGCUGCACAAUACCUCCCGCAGCGAUAUGCACAGGACGGUUAUACAGCACUUUAUUUAUUUAUUUGUUUGUUUUCUUUUGGUGUAGUUGUUCAGUAAGCUCGCUGACUGUGGGCACACUGCAACGCAUGCAAAUAAGGUCUACUGAUCGGCAUUACCUGGCUAUACUGAAGUCUCAUUUCACCACACGGCAACAACACAAACACCAGAGCCUACAAUUACUCAUUUCACCACACGGCAACAGCACAACCAUCAGGUGGAGUUAGUGGAUAGAUUAUGAGACAGUGGGCCCCUGGGCACGGACACGCGAAAGGCCCCAUGUCCCCCAGCUCGCUGCCUCGUUUCCUUCAGCCUCCGUGAACCUGAAAAAUAAUGCUGAAACGGCAUCUCCUGCUCUACAUUUCACACUCUCUAGAGUUCUGAGCAUAGCUAAGCGACCUGUACGAAACAUUGUGACUUUUUUCUGAGGGAUAAUAUUGUACAGCUUGUUUUGAAACAGGUUUUUUUUUCCAAAAAAAAAAAAAAAAAUCCUCAAAAUUCAGUACCAGUUAAACUCGCCAAAGUGAGAAAAGUAGUGCAUUCUGAAGAAGAUGCAAAAUAUUGUACAAGAUGUUUUGGAUUAAUACAGGUGUUUAACCAUUUCUAAGAUACUGAAUUUUUUUCUGUACUACAUACACUCACCAUACACUGCACCUUCAUGCAGUUAUCUAAUCAGUCAAACAUGUGGCAGUAUGUGGCAAUGCAAAAAAAAAAAAAAAUCAUGCAGAUAUUGGUCAAGAGCUUCAGUUAACAUUCACAUCAAACAUCAGAAUCAAGAAAAAGUGUGAUCUGUGUGACUUUGAUCGUGGCAUGGAUGCUGGUGCCAGAUGGGCUGGUUUGAGUUUUUCAGGAACUGCUGAUCUCCUGGAAAUUUAACAUACAGAAUAACACAGAAUGGUGCGAGAAACAAAACCAGUAACUAUAGGAUAUAGUAUACUAAAGGAUGUAGUAUAUUAACAUGCUUGGCUGAUUAGAAAACUGCAUGAAUGUUCCUAAUAAAGUGGACGGUGAGUGUAUAUAUAUUAUAGAAUGUGCAUAACAUUUUAUUUUUGUUGUUGCUUUAUUUUAUUUUUUCUAAAUAGAAAAUCAUUCAAAUUCAGUAACAGUUAAAUUUCCCAAAAUGAAAGGUGUAGUGCAUUCUAUAGAAGAUAAUAAUAUAAUUAUGUGUAAUAUUGUACAAGUUGCUUUGGAACAAUGUAUUAAACUAUUCAGAAAUAAAAAAUGAACAUUUAUGGAGUUAAUUUUGUCACUUAUGGAGUAAAAUUUGAAGUUUCAAAUAGAAUAAUAAAAUCCACAAGCAAAAUAUUAAUGAUCAAAAUGUAAAAAAUGGGUCUUAGAAGAAGACGUUCACCUUAAAUCUCUAUUGGUCAACUGAUUUUGGAGUCAGAGGUGCUUUGAAAGUUAACCACGCCCACUCCAUUAAAGGUGCGGAAGGAAAACAAACAAUAUGAGUACUGAAUUGUUUGCAGAUGCAUUCAUGCAUAUAUAUAUCAUACAUCAUACAUUCUUCAUUCCACUCAGUAGCAGUUUAAAAAGAUAACUAGGUGACGAGGCUGCAGCUGGCUUCAUAUUCACCAGUUUCUUAUUCUGAUUUUUGUGUUUGCCUAAUUCCAAUACCAUUAUCUCUUCAUUAUAAAAAUGUCUCAAAAAUCAGACAAUCUGACGUGAAAGCAGCAAUUAAGGGGCCAAGCACUUUCUGUUCCAGAGGAGUGUCUGGGAUUUUAUUUAAUAUAUUUCCUCAUCCCCCUUGAAACUGAUGCCUGGCUACUGCCAACAUCCGAAAUGUUUUAAUUUACUUUAAGACUGUCUGUUUCAAUACUUUUGUGUACCUAAACAUUGGGUGGUCUGCCAUCAAAGGAGCCAGAUACUAAGUUGUUUAACACACCUAGAUGUAAAUAUCAGGAAAUGAAAGUUAAAAUUCUGCUCUAUUGUCUCAUAUAGGUUAAUGGUUAAGGCUCUGGCUUGCUGAGCAGAAGGUUGGGGGUUCAAUUCCUAGCACUGCUAAGCUGCCAUUGUUGAUCCCUUGAGCAAGGCCCUUAACCCUCUCUGUCCCAGGGGUGCUGUAUUGUGACUGACCCUGUGCUCUGACUCCAACUUCCUUACAAGCUGGGAUGUGUGCAGAAAAGAAUUUCACUAUGAUGUAAUCUAUAUGUAACAAAUAAAGGAUUCUUCAUCUACUCAUCUUUUGAUCUCAAACCUAAAUGUCUUCAGGGUAUAGCAAAAACACAAGAAUUGGCCUUGCCGUUCCAAUACUUUUGAGGGAACUGUAGUUACAUUUAAUGUUGUGCAUCAUCUGCAAGACAAGUUAAUUCUUGUUAUCACUUAUGUUAUAGCAGCUAUAAUCAGCUAUUCCCUCUCCAGUAGCUUUUGUUACUAUAUAAAUGAUAAGAUAUUAGAACUAGCACAUUAAUAUAAACCUGUGAUUUGUUUUACAGCGUGCACUGCUGUCAGAGCUGCUGUUACAUAACAGUGCUGGGGUAUAAUAAUCAUUAUUUGAUGCAUUUCCAUUAUCAAUUGUGGAAUUAUCAUUAACCACAUGCCAUAGGAAUGAGUCAGCAUGAAAGGAUCAUUUAUUCUAUGUUCACUUCAUGUUGGAAGGAAAAAAACCUACAUGACAUAGACAGACUAUAAAGCCACAAAUGAACUUGUUAGCAGUAUAAACAAAUGAGACAUGCUUCGAGGUCCUCCAGUGCAGAGGAAAGAGGAAAAUGGACUGUAAUUGCCUUGUCUAUCCACAUAGGCUUUUGUGCAAUGGAUGUGUUCGUGUGUGAGUUUGUGUUGGUGUGAUGGAAAUAUGAAACAUUAUACCCUUAUUUGACCUUGUGAGGGUGUGUGGUUACCAGACAGACAAGCAAAAGUGAUAUGAUAGCUGAUAUUGGAAGUAAUUAUAACAUUCUAUAAUUAUACACCACUGGUUAAUCAUUUCAGUAGGUUUACCUGACCACACUAUUUUUUUGUUUGUCCCCAUUUUAACGGUUAGAGCAUUUGAAUCUGAAAGCUUUAAUGUGCUUUGCUUUUGUUCAGUUUUUUGCUGUGACUGUUAGUGCUGUAAUAUUAUGCAUUAAUUUGUAGUUUGGAAAUAAUGUUUUGUUUUGACUAGAUAAUCAGAGUUGCAGUAUUGUGUCUGCUUGCAAAACCAGCUUGUGUUUUAGUAGGUAGCUGCACUUUAUAGAAGUACAUUAUUUCCUGGCACUGGCACACACACACACACACACACACACACACACAGUACAACAAUAUAAUUGAUAACAAAAUAUAUUACAACAGUAUAAGUUUGAUUUUAAUUUAUUUUAUUUGUUUUAUAUUUAUUGUUACAUGUUUAACAAUAGAGUCCACAAAAUGGCUGUCCUCAAAAUGGGUCCCCUGGUUGCCCUUGGUAACAGUGAGCUAGAGAGAGAGAGAGAGAGAGAGAGAGAGAGAUAAAAAUAGAAGAAAUGGAACUGCAGAGUGCAACACAGGGAGUGUCCUUAGAGUGUGGCAGAGCACAGCCACUGAAAGACUUGAGUUUCCAAAAAGACAAACACAUUUCUGAAGCUUUUUGAAGGAUCUGUGGGUUACAGUUGUACUUUUACCUUCUGUGUGGACUUCUGCGUUGGCCCUAGUAGUACUGAUAUAUUAAUCCAUUAUCAUUGUUCACCUGUUUUUUAGAAAGUAACUGCUAUCUCCAUCCCAGGUUUUUUUUUUUUAAUCUAUUAUUUGACAGAUGUGGAUGGUAUGUGUUCUCAGAAGGGUUACCUUUUUCCUCAAAGGGGCAGGUUGCUUGAUCUUCACAGUUGUCCCUGCUCAAAAUGAUAUACAAAAGUUCCCUGGGAGCCUCUGGAUGAGCCUGAGUGUCAUGUGCUAACUUAUCUUUAGGUUAACAGUGCACUUAUAUGCCUAGAAUCCCAUCUGGCCCAGUUGAUCACUUAGAGUUAAUCUGAAUCUCUCACUUUAUCACAGCACACAAGGUAUUAGUCAUUCACACAAGGUAUUAAUCAUUCGUCAACAAAGACAGAGGAAAAUACAAGUUGGAAGUUGACUGAUGUUUGCUUUGUGAAAGGGGUUGUACCUCCCUUUGGGCACUGAAAAGAUGGAGCUCACUGGACCAGUUAUACCUCCUAAUUGCUUGUAACCACAUUUAUCUACUGUUGGCUUGAAAGGGUGUCCAGUUCUACAGUAUGUGGUAAAAAUGAAUAUGUUCAUGGCCACCUUUCUAAUUUUGACAACCAACACACAUUUUAGAAAACAAAUUCUAGCUUGCUCUUAAAAACCACUAAAGACUACCACUAUGUUUGUGCAACCAGGAGGAGUGGCUAAUGUCAGAGUGACAUUAUUUGUCAUGACAUAAUAUACUAAAUUCUUAUGGCUAUUCAUUGGUUCGCAGUUUUUUUUCCUGUCAAGCCCCCUUCUACCAACUGAAAAAAAAAAAUCAGGUACUUGCCUUUCUUUUAAAGCCUGUCACAAAUUGUUUUUAGCUUGCUAUCUAGGUAAUAUUACCUGUGUAGAGCACCAGCAUUGGGGUUAUUCAACUUGUAAAAAAGCAACAGUCACUGUGUUAACAACUUUCUGUGAAAACAUUACUAUAUUGCCUUCCUUUUACAUUGCAUUCAGUACUGAAGAGAGGACUGAAGACUGUCAUAUCCUCAAGAGGGGGAGGAUAUGACACCGUUACUGUUAUGACACAUAUAUGACACGUAUGUUACUGUUCUUUUUAGAUUUUACUCAGUCUUCAGUCCUCUCUUCAGUACUGACUUAUUCUCAACACUGGACACACACACAAAGUUACAAACCCCCGCAUACCAGCAAAUUCAUCCUUCAGCUUAUGAAUGGCAGCCGUUUAUCAUAAAAAAGCCUUGCCAAAUAGGGCAUCAUUGCAAUUGCAGGGAAAAGGGGGAGAUGCUUGAGCAUAUACAUGCUCUUUGCGGUCCUUUAAAUUCAUACUUUGUCAUUUCAUCAAUGGAAACUAGUAAAUUUGAAACUGAGGUUUUCAAAGUGAAACAUUUGCCUAUUCAUAAGGAAAUCAUUACAAUAUUCUGCCACUCAAACAAUGUCUUCUAUUUACAUGAUUAAAGCAACAAAACCACAUUCAGGAACGUAAAACGUACUUAGGAACGUAAAAGUCACCUUGGGGGCAAACAGAAUCAGGUGUGUUUAAGAGUACGUAACAUGCAAAGGUUAUGUAACAUUUUUGUUGUUAACAUGUAGAUUAGUGUAUGGGGUGUAAAUAUGACUUAAAAUGUGGUGUAUUGUGUUUUAUAUGCACAUACAGCAAAAGAAUAUAAUAAUCCAUAAAGAAGAUAUUCCAUCCAUUAAAAACAGUAUCAGCAUUGUUAUUGUAUUACUAGUGGAAUGCAAAGGAAAAUACAAGAGACUGGUAAAAGGACUUUAUGAAGUGCUGUCAACAUUGUGCUUUCAGCCCAAUUUGAGUAAAACCAAGGAGCUGAUAUUGGACUUUCAAAAGGUCAAAUCAUCCCUCUCCCCCUCACACACACACCUCUUGUAUAGUUUGACCUACUUAACAAUUACAUAGGAGUUCAGAUAACAUUGAUGCAGAUACAGAAGGGGCCAACUGUAUGCGCUGAGAAGACAGAUCCUUUGGAAUCUGCAGAGCAUUUUUAAGGACUUUACAUUAUUUUCCUCACACAUUAUAUUCUUACCAUUGAUCUGCUGUAACACUUUCAUUUCCCCAUGAGGGAUUAAUAAGUUCUUAUGUGUUAUAAGUGAGCCUAAUUUACUUCCUAGUGCACAGGAAUGUUAACCUUUUACAUUCUGAUCACAUUGUGCUGGAAAAUGCAAAUCAGUGUAAAAACAAACCAAAGGGUAUUUUCAUUGUUGAUUCAUAACUGCAUGGAAAUAUCAAUAAUGAUUAACCUUUCCACUCUACAAAAAAAAUCUUCACAGUUAUGAUAUGUUGAAUCUGGAUUCAACCUGUAUUCCAAUAUGUACCUGAGACACUUAUUAUGCUAGAGGGAUAUGUUAGUACUUCACUCCGAGCAUGGUCUGCUGUGACUCCCUUCACAGCACAGUUUGUGUGCACACUUAUAGACAUAGUACAAUAUCUAACAUUUAAUAAUCUAUGCCUAUCAGGACAGAUCAGACUCUGAGACAAAAGGUAAGAGCCCAGCACAAAUUUAUUAGAGGAUUUGGCAAAAACAACAGGUAUGCAAAGACAGUAAACACAAAGAUAAUUACUGCAGGCUGGUGGAUAACACUGGUGGAGUCACUAAACAAAUGAAUGAGGGAAAGGAGCACACACCUCAUGUGUCCUGAAGGAGAAUCGCUGGAGAAACCAUAGGGAGCCGUUAGGACCAUAAGGAGUUUUUCACAGAUACCACUCACAGAUAAGAGGUCUAUUCCUAGUUAAGGCCAGACAAAGUGUGAAUGUGAGGUGUGUGCUUGUAUAGAGUGCUAAUGAGUGUGGUGAAUGGGGACAGGUGGUACUGGUUAGUACACUGGGGAGAGCGGGCACUGACUGUUGGUGACAGAGCCUGGUGUUCCUGUGACCCGAGAAGCUGAUCUUGGCUGUAGGAAUGUAGGAGCUCAGAGAUAUAAGGCAGACAGAUGUCAUGAAUUGCUUUGUAUGUGAGAAAAAAAAAGAGUUUGUAUUUGAUUCUCUGUGAAAUGGUGAGCAAGUGUAGCUUUUGCAGUAUAGGUGUAAUGUGUGCUGAAUAUUUGUUACGAGUAAGGAUUCCAGCAGCUGAAUUUUGAAUAUGUUGAGGUUUGUACUUCACUUUAAAGGUGGCAAUUCUUUACCUAGGACUAUCAUGCAGAUUAAAAAUGGUCAUUUAUUAAAGCUUGUAAUUAAAACUAUUAGUAACAAUUUCUUUUUACAUGUUUUUGUAUGCUAGUUAGGGGUCCAAGCACCAAAGGUGCUGGAACUCUAUUGUUUUUGUUUGGAUUUUUCUUCUUCUUCGCCUCAGUCGCCUCAGGCUUGCUCACUAGGGAUAAUUCUGUCUAACAUCUAGGAUUGUUUGCAUGUUUUUCUUUCUGUUUGCAUGCUUUUUGUUUCUUAUGUUCUGUAAAGCUGCUUUGAGACAAUGUUCAUUGUUAAAAGUGCUAUACAAAUAAAAUUGAAUUGAAUUGAA